CCUACGGGAGGCAGCAGUGGGGAAUAUUGGACAAUGGGGGGAACCCUGAUCCAGCGACGCCGCGUGAGUGAAGAAGUAUUUCGGUAUGUAAAGCUCUAUCAGCAGGGAAGAAAGAAAUGACGGUACCUGACUAAGAAGUCCCGGCUAGCUACGUGCCAGCAGCCGCGGUAAUACGUAGGGGGCACGCGUUAUCCGGAUUUACUGGGUGUAAAGGGAGCGUAGACGGCGAUGCAAGUCUGAAGUGAAAGGCGGGGGCCCAACCCCCGGACUGCUUUGGAAACUGUAUGGCUGGAGUGCGGGAGAGGUAAGUGGAAUUCCUAGUGUAGCGGUGAAAUGCGUAGAUAUUAGGAGGAACACCAGUGGCGAAGGCGGCUUACUGGACUGUAACUGACGUUGAGGCUCGAAAGCGUGGGGAGCAAACAGGAUUAGAUACCCGGGUAGUC
Molecule: ribosomal RNA, 443 nt
Filed under: uncultured bacterium
Lineage: Bacteria
Description: partial 16S ribosomal RNA
Rfam family: Bacterial small subunit ribosomal RNA
Source: RNAcentral